Non-coding RNA from Vicia faba (fava bean), 447 nucleotides. NCBI's taxonomy places the organism in Eukaryota, Viridiplantae, Streptophyta, Magnoliopsida, Fabales, Fabaceae. The record is from the annotation of a GenBank genome assembly.
AUGGUGCUGGUAUUGGCCCUGGGGGAUAUGCACAUACCCCACAGGGCGCCUGAUAUUCCUGCAAAGUUUAAGUCCAUGCUUGUCCCUGGAAAGAUCCAGCACAUCAUAUGUACUGGAAACUUGUGUAUUAAAGAAGUCCAUGACUACCUAAAGACUCUUUGUCCCGACUUGCAUAUAACUCGUGGUGAGUAUGAUGAAGAUUCAAGAUAUCCAGAGACCAAAACACUAACCAUUGGCCAAUUCAAGUUGGGACUAUGCCAUGGUCAUCAGGUUAUUCCAUGGGGAGACCUGGACUCACUGGCGAUGUUACAGAGACAGCUUGACGUAGACAUCCUUGUCACAGGUCACACCCAUCAGUUUACCGCAUACAAACACGAGGGCGGCGUGGUUAUAAAUCCAGGUUCUGCAUCUGGUGCCUACAGCAGCAUCACCUAUGACGUGAACCCA